This 402-nucleotide ribosomal RNA is filed under the name uncultured bacterium. RNAcentral's name for it is "bacterial SSU rRNA". It matches the Rfam family "Bacterial small subunit ribosomal RNA", at positions 28 to 428 of the family's 1533-position model. The record is from RNAcentral.
GACGAACGCUGGCGGCGCGCUUAACACAUGCAAGUCGAGCGAUAACCAUGGCUUCGGCCAUGGGGAGAGCGGCGAACGGGUGAGUAACACGUGAGUAAUCUGCCCUCGACACUGGGAUAGCCCGGGGAAACCCGGAUUAAUACCGGAUAGCCUCUCGAGCUUUCGGGCUCGUGAGAAAAGAUGGCUUCGGCUUUCGGUUGAGGAGGAGCUUGCGGCGGAUUAGCUUGUUGGUGAGGAACGGCCCACCAAGGCGACGAUCCGUAGCUGGUCUGAGAGGACGAUCAGCCACACUGGGACUGAGACACGGCCCAGACUCCUACGGGAGGCAGCAGUGGGGAAUCUUGCGCAAUGGGCGAAAGCCUGACGCAGCGACGCCGCGUGAGGGAAGAAGGCCUGGUGUAA